Molecule: ribosomal RNA, 644 nt
Filed under: uncultured bacterium
Lineage: Bacteria
Description: bacterial SSU rRNA
Rfam family: Bacterial small subunit ribosomal RNA
Source: RNAcentral
CGCGGCCUAUCAGCUUGUUGGUGGGGUAGUGGCUUACCAAGGCUUUGACGGGUAGCCGGCCUGAGAGGGUGACCGGCCACAUUGGGACUGAGAUACGGCCCAGACUCCUACGGGAGGCAGCAGUGGGGAAUAUUGCACAAUGGGUGGAAGCCUGAUGCAGCAACGCCGUGUGCGGGAUGACGGCCUUCGGGUUGUAAACCGCUUUCGCUCAUGACGAAGCUUUGUGUGACGGUAGUGGGUAAAGAAGCACCGGCUAACUACGUGCCAGCAGCCGCGGUGAUACGUAGGGUGCGAGCGUUGUCCGGAUUUAUUGGGCGUAAAGGGCUCGUAGGUGGUUGAUCGCGUCGGAAGUGUAAUCUUGGGGCUUAACCCUGAGCGUGCUUUUGAUACGGGUUGACUUGAGGAAGGUAGGGGAGAAUGGAAUUCCUGGUGGAGCGGUGGAAUGCGCAGAUAUCAGGAGGAACACCAGUGGCGAAGGCGGUUCUCUGGGCCUUUCCUGACGCUGAGGAGCGAAAGCGUGGGGAGCGAACAGGCUUAGAUACCCUGGUAGUCCACGCUGUAAACGGUGGGUACUAGGUGUGGGGUCCAUUCCACGGGUUCCGUGCCGUAGCUAACGCUUUAAGUACCCCGCCUGGGGAGUACGG